RNAcentral lists this ribosomal RNA (1449 nucleotides) under bacterium 453b_as. RNAcentral's name for it is "16S ribosomal RNA". It matches the Rfam family "Bacterial small subunit ribosomal RNA". The record is from RNAcentral.
GUGCCUAAUACAUGCAAGUCGAACGCACAGCGAAAGGUGCUUGCACCUUUCAAGUGAGUGGCGAACGGGUGAGUAACACGUGGACAACCUGCCUCAAGGCUGGGGAUAACAUUUGGAAACAGAUGCUAAUACCGAAUAAAACUUAGUGUCGCAUGACACAAAGUUAAAAGGCGCUUCGGCGUCACCUAGAGAUGGAUCCGCGGUGCAUUAGUUAGUUGGUGGGGUAAAGGCCUACCAAGACAAUGAUGCAUAGCCGAGUUGAGAGACUGAUCGGCCACAUUGGGACUGAGACACGGCCCAAACUCCUACGGGAGGCUGCAGUAGGGAAUCUUCCACAAUGGGCGAAAGCCUGAUGGAGCAACGCUGUUUUGUGUGAUGAAGGCUUUCGGGUCGUAAAGCACUGUUGUAUGGGAAGAACAGCUAGAAUAGGAAAUGAUUUUAGUUUGACGGUACCAUACCAGAAAGGGACGGGCUAAAUACGUGCCAGCAGCCGCCGGUAAUACGUAUGUCCCGAGCGUUAUCCGGAUUUAUUUGGGCGUAAAGCGAGCGCAGACGGUUUAUUAAGUCUGAUGUGAAAGCCCGGAGCUCAACUCCGGAAUGGCAUUGGAAACUGGUUAACUUGAGUGCAGUAGAGGUAAGUGGAACUCCAUGUGUAGCGGUGGAAUGCGUAGAUAUAUGGAAGAACACCAGUGGCGAAGGCGGCUUACUGGACUGCAACUGACGUUGAGGCUCGAAAGUGUGGGUAGCAAACAGGAUUAGAUACCCUGGUAGUCCACACCGUAAACGAUGAACACUAGGUGUUAGGAGGUUUCCGCCUCUUAGUGCCGAAGCUAACGCAUUAAGUGUUCCGCCUGGGGGAGUACGACCGCAAGGGUUGAAACUCAAAGGAAAUUUGACGGGGACCCGCACAAGCGGUGGCAGCAUGUGGUUUAAUUCGAAGCAACGCGAAGAACCUUACCAGGUCUUGACAUCCUUUGAAGCUUUUAGAGAUAGAAGUGUUCUCUUCGGAGACAAAGUGACAGGUGGUGCAUGGUCGUCGUCAGCUCGUGUCGUGAGAUGUUGGGUUAAGUCCCGCAACGAGCGCAACCCUUAUUGUUAGUUGCCAGCAUUCAGAUGGGCACUCUAGCGAGACUGCCGGUGACAAACCGGAGGAAGGCGGGGACGACGUCAGAUCAUCAUGCCCCUUAUGACCUGGGCUACACACGUGCUACAAUGGCGUAUACAACGAGUUGCCAACCCGCGAGGGUGAGCUAAUCUCUUAAAGUACGUCUCAGUUCGGAUUGUAGUCUGCAACUCGACUACAUGAAGUCGGAAUCGCUAGUAAUCGCGGAUCAGCACGCCGCGGUGAAUACGUUCCCGGGUCUUGUACACACCGCCCGUCACACCAUGGGAGUUUGUAAUGCCCAAAGCCGGUGGCCUAACCUUUUAGGAAGGAGCCGUCUAAGGCAG